RNAcentral lists this transfer RNA (72 nucleotides) under Colletotrichum graminicola M1.001. RNAcentral's name for it is "tRNA-Ala (AGC) (tRNA-Ala-AGC-2-1)". It matches the Rfam family "tRNA". Rfam says of the family: Transfer RNA (tRNA) molecules are approximately 80 nucleotides in length. Their secondary structure includes four short double-helical elements and three loops (D, anti-codon, and T loops). Further hydrogen bonds mediate the characteristic L-shaped molecular structure. tRNAs have two regions of fundamental functional importance: the anti-codon, which is responsible for specific mRNA codon recognition, and the 3' end, to which the tRNAs corresponding amino acid is attached (by aminoacyl-tRNA synthetases). tRNAs cope with the degeneracy of the genetic code in two manners: having more than one tRNA (with a specific anti-codon) for a particular amino acid; and 'wobble' base-pairing, i.e. permitting non-standard base-pairing at the 3rd anti-codon position. Lineage: Eukaryota; Fungi; Ascomycota; Sordariomycetes; Glomerellales; Glomerellaceae. The record is from Rfam by way of RNAcentral.
AGGCGAUUGGUUUAGUGGUAUAAUGACCGCUUAGCAUGCGGUAGUUCUAGGGUUUGAUUCCCUGAUUGUCUA